This 497-nucleotide ribosomal RNA is filed under the name uncultured bacterium. Its description in RNAcentral is "partial 16S ribosomal RNA". It matches the Rfam family "Bacterial small subunit ribosomal RNA", at positions 28 to 507 of the family's 1533-position model. The record is from RNAcentral.
GAUGAACGCUGGCGGCGUGCCUAAUACAUGCAAGUCGAGCGAACAGACGAGGAGCUUGCUCCUCUGACGUUAGCGGCGGACGGGUGAGUAACACGUGGAUAACCUACCUAUAAGACUGGGAUAACUUCGGGAAACCGGAGCUAAUACCGGAUAAUAUAUUGAAACGCAUGGUUCAAUAGUGAAAGACGGUUUUGCUGUCACUUAUAGAUGGAUCCGCGCCGCAUUAGCUAGUUGGUAAGGUAACGGCUUACCAAGGCAACGAUGCGUAGCCGACCUGAGAGGGUGGCCGGCCACACGGGAACGGAGACACGGUCCAGCCUCCUACGGGAGGCAGCAGAGGGGAAUCUGCGACAAUGGGCGAAAGCCUGACGCAGCAACGCCGCGGGGGUGAAGAAGGUCUUCGGGUCGAAAACCUCUUUUAUGGGGGAAAAAAAAGUGUGGAAUAAAAUAUCCAGGUCAGGACGGUCCCAAAUAAAAAAGCCCCGGCUAACUCCGUG